AUUGAACGCUGGCGGCAGGCCUAACACAUGCAAGUCGAGCGGAUGACGGGAGCUUGCUCCUUGAUUCAGCGGCGGACGGGUGAGUAAUGCCUAGGAAUCUGCCUGGUAGUGGGGGACAACGUUUCGAAAGGAACGCUAAUACCGCAUACGUUCUACGGGAGAAAGCAGGGGACCUUCGGGCCUUGCGCUAUCAGAUGAGCCUAGGUCGGAUUAGCUUGUUGGUGAGGUAAUGGCUCACCAAGGCGACGAUCCGUAACUGGUCUGAGAGGAUGAUCAGUCACACGGGAACUGAGACACGGUCCAGACUCCUACGGGAGGCAGCAGUGGGGAAUAUUGGACAAUGGGCGAAAGCCUGAUCCAGCCAUGCCGCGUGUGUGAAGAAGGUCUUCGGAUUGUAAAGCACUUUAGGUUGGGAGGAAGGGUUGUAGAUUAAUACGCUGCAAUUUUGACGUUACCGACAGAAUAAGCACCGGCUAACUCUGUG
RNAcentral lists this ribosomal RNA (484 nucleotides) under uncultured bacterium. Its description in RNAcentral is "partial 16S ribosomal RNA". It matches the Rfam family "Bacterial small subunit ribosomal RNA", at positions 30 to 507 of the family's 1533-position model. The record is from RNAcentral.